AUUGAUAUUUAAACUAUUUUGUAAGGAUAUUCAAUCUAAUUAUGGUAUUAACAAAAUCUAGCAAUCUUCAAAAAAACUUCCCGCUCGCAAAUCUACCUAAGCUUAGCCUCUUAACCUACCAAAGUCAAAAGAUAAUACUUUACUUAUUUAUUGAAUACAGUUUGGUGGUUAUGACAAAAUAGAAAAGCUAAAAAGUACUUAGUACGCUAAAACUAAAUAGAUACCUUUCAUGAACAUAAUAAUAAGAUAAAAAGGCCAAGAAUUCCAAAAAAAGGGGAAAAAGCAAAGAUUAGGAAAACUCAAGGUUUAAAAUAAAAUAACUGUUUACCCUAGAAUUUGAAUGAGCUAUCCUUAAUUUUCCGGCUGAAAAUUGUAUCACACACUGCUCUGGCGGUGGUCGGGGGGCCCUUUAUAUAGGGUUUAAAAGGGGGGAAAAAGGGUAUCUGCGCUGAGAAAAAAAAGGGAGGGGAGGCCUGGUUUGUAUGAGCAAUUAGGGCCUUCUAGAAAAGGGGGGUAAAAAGGGUAUAGAUAAAAAGGGAGGGGAGGCCUAGUUCGUAGGAGCAAUUAGGGUCUUCUAGAAAAAGGGGGGGAAAAAAGGGUAUAGAGCGAAAGGGAGGGGAGGCCUAAUUCGUAGGGAUAAUUAGGGCCUUAUGGCCUAGUUCGUAGGGACAAUUAAGGCCUACUAGAAAGGAGGGGUAGAAAAGGGUAUUGACAAAAAGGGAGGAGGGGGAAGACUUGGCUUACAAUUUAAACAAGUAAUUAGGGUAAUCAACGUUAAUACAUCAGAUAUGAUUACAACAUAAUUAUAGAUUGAACUAGCAAAAUUAGUUCUAAGUGAGCUGAUUUUGAUAAAUCAGAUGUUGAUUGGGCUUGUGAUUUCAUUCCUCUGACAGGUGCACGCCUUCAUCUAUACUGGUUUCACUUCCGCUAUCGCUUGUAUUCUCAUCCUCAAAGUCCAGGAAGAGAGGCUGGAAUAAAAGAACAGAUGAGAUAAAAUUAGAAAUAUAUGUCUAUCCAUAUAGGUAUAUAGGCGUAGACAUAUACAACUGUUGAUAGAUGUUUCUUUUUUUCUACUAAAAAAUGUCCCUCAUGUUAGGUUUAGCUUCUGUUUUGGUUCAUUUAACUAAUGCAACGUGUUUAUUAGGACCUUUCCAGCCAACCAAAAAUGGAGGGAUGGCUCCUGUAUUGACAAAAGAAUCAGAAAAGGUUCAGACAAGAAUGGGUACCAUUUCAGUAGAAAACCCGAAAGAUUUAUCAUGAAAGUGUCAGAAGGAUGAAUGUGAUUGAAAUUCCAAGCCUUAAUAAAACUUGAAAACUAUCCUGAUUGUUCAUUUUGGAGAGAUCUAAGAGUAGAGGAGCUUACUGUCAGGCCUGAUGAAACACUACAUGGUAGAAUAGCUGGUUUACUUUAGGGCAACAUCUGAAGUUGCGAAACAUUCAAUCACAAUUCUUUUAGGGUGUCUGUUUAGCCUAAGAUUUGAAUUGAGAUUAUUAGGAUUUUUCUUCUUUGUAAUUGCCAGAUUGGAAAUUUACGGAGGGUGACAGAGGAAAAUAAUCCUUUAUUAAGAACGUAAAUUUUUUUCUUUUCUGAGAUUUCCUAUUUCAUAAUUCCAUUUAAUUCCUUGGUCCCUUAAUAUCUACCAGAUCAGUAUCCAGAAAGAUUACAAAGGACGAAGAUUUAAUUUAACUUGAAAUUGAGAAUUAAAGCAUGAGUUUCAUUUAUCUUCAUGACCUCUCUGUAAUUACCUUAUUGGAAAGGAGGUGAAGAAUAAAAAAGAUUAUUUGAGAUUUAAAUAUUCAAAGAUUUUAAAGCUGAGCCAUGUGGGGGGCAGCGAGAAAAAGUUCUACGUCUGAGGGGGAGGGGGACAGACUGAGUAGUAUUUUAAAUUUGCUAGAAGCCACAACAUUUAACAGAUUUAAUAAUUUUAAUGCUGAUAGAUGUGCGUUAACUCCUCAGAUUAAUAUUACGGGAUUUAUUGAUGAUAAUUUUGAAAGUAGUCAGGGAGCCUUGAAUCAAGGAUUCGCACUUGAUUCAGAAGGGCUAUUUUGAACCAGACUGUUAAUAUUAAAACAUAAUAAAAAAUCAAGAAAUUUUGGAAAAGAGUAUUACUGCAGAUUUUCCUGAUAAAUUAUCCCUAAAUUUUGAAUAUUUUGAAAACGGCGGAAAUAAAAAAAAAUACACAUUUUUUAUUAUUUUUAUAAGAAAAACU
RNAcentral lists this long non-coding RNA (2210 nucleotides) under Eurytemora carolleeae. RNAcentral describes it as "uncharacterized LOC111717161". Lineage: Eukaryota; Metazoa; Arthropoda; Copepoda; Calanoida; Temoridae. The record is from RNAcentral.